AACGCUGGCGGCGUGCUUAACACAUGCAAGUCGAACGGUGAAGCGCCUUCCUUUUUGGUGGGUGUGGAUGAGUGGCGAACGGGUGAGUAACACGUGAGUAACCUGCCCCCUUCUUCUGGAUAACCGCAUGAAAGUGUGGCUAAUACGGGAUAUUCUGGGUCUGUCGCAUGAUGGGUCUGGGAAAGAUAUUGUUUCGGUGGGGGAUGGGCUCGCGGCCUAUCAGCUUGUUGGUGGGGUGAUGGCCUACCAAGGCGGUGACGGGUAGCCGGCCUGAGAGGGUGGACGGUCACACUGGGACUGAGACACGGCCCAGACUCCUACGGGAGGCAGCAGUGGGGAAUAUUGCACAAUGGGCGCAAGCCUGAUGCAGCGACGCCGCGUGAGGGAUGGAGGCCUUCGGGUUGUGAACCUCUUUCGCCAGUGAAGCAGGCCUGCCUCGUUUGUGGGUGGGUUGACGGUAGCUGGAGAAGAAGCGCCGGCUAACUACGUG
RNAcentral lists this ribosomal RNA (490 nucleotides) under uncultured bacterium. RNAcentral describes it as "partial 16S ribosomal RNA". It matches the Rfam family "Bacterial small subunit ribosomal RNA", at positions 32 to 507 of the family's 1533-position model. The record is from RNAcentral.